Molecule: long non-coding RNA, 698 nt
Organism: Malania oleifera
Lineage: Eukaryota; Viridiplantae; Streptophyta; Magnoliopsida; Santalales; Ximeniaceae
Exons: 2
Source: RefSeq, a predicted model, not a curated record
AGGUUUAAAUAGGCGAAUUUCAGCGUCAUUCAUAUUUCUUAUAAAAUAUUUAAAUGAAUAUCCGAGAAGCAUAUAAUGAUAAAAUAAGAAGGAAGGGAACCUCUUCGCGGCGAGUUAGGCCUCAGGGCCCGGAUUUCUUGGGGUCAUUGCAUUUCUACCUUCAUUGCCUGGAUUCGUUUGCAUGUACUAAAAACAGGCCGUUAUGUGAUGCGCGGCCAACUCAUAGAAUGGGAAGAGGGAGCUGAAACCUGAUUGAGUGAAAGGAAGACGAAAAGAGAAGAACCCACGGGAUUCAAAAGUCCUCAUAGAAACCUUUCUUCAUCCACAGUAACAGGAGCCCUGGAUAGGAGAGCGGAUAAAGUUUUGCUGUGAUAGUUACGGCUGAUCUGCCCUCUUUGAAGGGUAUGUAUUUUGUGAUAGGGUCAAAUGAAUUUUUGUGGGAAAUGACCCCUAGGACUCUUUUGAGUGGUUUAUAUAUGUAUAUACAGUGGAUAUAGCAACUCUGAUAUUGUGAUGGAUGGUAUUGUAUAGGGUAUCAUGGGUUAUUUAUGAUUUUAUGUUUCCUGCUACUUAGAUUUCCAUACUGUAUUUCUAUUGUAUCCCUGGUACCCACAGGGUCAGGUGGAUUAUGAUCUACUGGAAUUGUUAUAACGGGUUUUAUUAUAUAAUGAAAAAAAAAAAAUAUAAGUGGAAUUUAA